RNAcentral lists this ribosomal RNA (522 nucleotides) under uncultured bacterium. Its description in RNAcentral is "bacterial SSU rRNA". It matches the Rfam family "Bacterial small subunit ribosomal RNA", at positions 8 to 525 of the family's 1533-position model. The record is from RNAcentral.
AGAGUUUGAUCCUGGCUCAGAUUGAACGCUGGCGGCAUGCCUAACACAUGCAAGUCGAACGGCAACGCGGGGGCAACCCUGGCGGCGAGUGGCGGACGGGUGAGGAAUGCAUCGGAAUCUGCCUGGUUGUGGGGGAUAACGUAGGGAAACUUACGCUAAUACCGCAUACGACCUACGGGUGAAAGUGGGGGACCGCAAGGCCUCACGCGAUCAGAGGAGCCGAUGCCGGAUUAGCUAGUUGGCGGGGUAAAGGCCCACCAAGGCGACGAUCCGUAGCUGGUCUGAGAGGAUGAUCAGCCACACUGGAACUGAGACACGGUCCAGACUCCUACGGGAGGCAGCAGUGGGGAAUAUUGGACAAUGGGCGCAAGCCUGAUCCAGCAAUGCCGCGUGUGUGAAGAAGGCCUUCGGGUUGUAAAGCACUUUUGUACGGGAAGAAAAGCUUCGGGUUAAUAACCUGGGGUCAUGACGGUACCGUAAGAAUAAGCACCGGCUAACUUCGUGCCAGCAGCCGCGGUAAUA